GGGUUGCUAACUCAAUGGCAGAGUACUCGAUCCGAUGAGCUCCGGGUUCAAGUCCCGGGCAACCCA
Molecule: transfer RNA, 66 nt
Filed under: Hesperocyparis arizonica
Lineage: Eukaryota; Viridiplantae; Streptophyta; Pinopsida; Cupressales; Cupressaceae
Also listed under: 2 other names
Description: tRNA-Lys
Rfam family: tRNA
About the family: Transfer RNA (tRNA) molecules are approximately 80 nucleotides in length. Their secondary structure includes four short double-helical elements and three loops (D, anti-codon, and T loops).
Source: RNAcentral